GACGAACGCUGGCGGCGUGCCUAACACAUGCAAGUCGAACGAAGAGCGAUGGAUGCUUGCUUCUAUCAAUCUUAGUGGCGAACGUGUGAGUAACGAGUCAUCAACCUGCUCUUCAGAAGCGUCCAACAGUUGGAAAUGACUGCUAAUGCCUCAUACGAUCUGACCUCGGCAUCGAGGAUAGAUCACAGGUGGCCUCUAUUUAUAAGCUAUCACUGUAGGUGGUGAGUGAGUCUGAUUAGCAAGUUGGGGGGGGAACCGCCCACCAAGGCGAGGAUCAGUAGACGGGCUUAGAGGAUGAACGGGCACAAUGGGACUGAGGAAACGGUCAGACUCCUAAGGGAGGGAGCAGGGGGGAAUCAUUCGCAAUGGACGAAAGUCUGACGGAGCAAAGCCGGGUGGGUGAUGACGGGCUUCGGGUUGUAAAGGUACGUUAAUUGGGACGAAAGGCCUGCUUGCGAAUAGUUAGAAGGAUUGACGGUACCGGAAGAGAAAGCCACGGCUAACUACGUG
Molecule: ribosomal RNA, 510 nt
Filed under: uncultured bacterium
Lineage: Bacteria
Description: partial 16S ribosomal RNA
Rfam family: Bacterial small subunit ribosomal RNA
Source: RNAcentral